RNAcentral lists this ribosomal RNA (963 nucleotides) under Ascidiella aspersa. RNAcentral's name for it is "SSU rRNA". It matches the Rfam family "Eukaryotic small subunit ribosomal RNA", at positions 626 to 1616 of the family's 1831-position model. Lineage: Eukaryota; Metazoa; Chordata; Ascidiacea; Phlebobranchia; Ascidiidae. The record is from RNAcentral.
GCUCGUAGUUGGAUUUUGGGCGCAGGCGGCCGGUCCGUCGCAAGGCGUGUACUGGCCGUCCUGGCCUCACCUCCGGUUCUCCGCCGGUGCCCUUGACUGAGUGUCGGCGGCGGCCGGAACGUUUACUUUGAAAAAAUUAGAGUGUUCAAAGCAGGCGAUUCGCCUGAAUAAUGGUGCAUGGAAUAAUGGAAUAGGACCUCGGUUCUAUUUUGUUGGUUUUCGGAGCGCGAGGUAAUGAUUAAGAGGGACAGACGGGGGCAUUCGUACUGUGCCGUUAGAGGUGAAAUUCUUGGAUCGGCGCAAGACGAACGACUGCGAAAGCAUUUGCCAAGAAUGUUUUCUUUAAUCAAGAGCGAAAGUCAGAGGUUCGAAGACGAUCAGAUACCGUCCUAGUUCUGACUAUAAACGAUGCCAACUAGCGAUCGGGGGGCGUUAGUUUUACGACCUCUCCGGCAGCUUGCGGGAAACCAAAGUCUUUGGGUUCCGGGGGAAGUAUGGUUGCAAAGCUGAAACUUAAAGGAAUUGACGGAAGGGCACCACCAGGAGUGGAGCCUGCGGCUUAAUUUGACUCAACACGGGAAAUCUCACCCGGCCCGGACACAGUGAGGAUUGACAGAUUGAGAGCUCUUUCUUGAUUCUGUGGGUGGUGGUGCAUGGCCGUUCUUAGUUGGUGGAGCGAUUUGUCUGGUUAAUUCCGAUAACGAACGAGACUCUGGCUUGCUAACUAGUUACGCGACCCAAUCGGUCGGCGUCUAACUUCUUAGAGGGACUAGUGGCGUUUAGCCACACGAGAUUGAGCAAUAACAGGUCUGUGAUGCCCUUAGAUGUUCGGGGCCGCACGCGCGCUACACUGACCGGAUCAGCAUGUGCUCGCCUUGGCCGACAGGUCUGGGUAACCCGCUGAACCCCGGUCGUGCUAGGGAUAGGGAAUUGCAAUUAUUUCCCUUGAACGAGGAAUUCCCA